This 483-nucleotide ribosomal RNA is filed under the name uncultured bacterium. Its description in RNAcentral is "partial 16S ribosomal RNA". It matches the Rfam family "Bacterial small subunit ribosomal RNA", at positions 29 to 506 of the family's 1533-position model. The record is from RNAcentral.
AUUGAACGCUGGCGGCAGGCCUAACACAUGCAAGUCGAGCGGAUGAAGGGAGCUUGCUCCUGGAUUCAGCGGCGGACGGGUGAGUAAUGCCUAGGAAUCUGCCUGGUAGUGGGGGAUAACGUCCGGAAACGGGCGCUAAUACCGCAUACGUCCUGAGGGCGACAGUGGGGGAUCUUCGGACCUCACGCUAUCAGAUGAGCCUAGGUCGGAUUAGCUAGCUGGUGGGGUAAAGGCCUACCAGGGCGCCGAUCCGUAACUGGUCUGAGAGGAGGAUCAGUCACAGUGGAACUGAGACACGGUCCAGACUCCUACGGGAGGCAGCAGUGGGGAAUAGAGGACAAAGUGCGAAAGCCUGAUCCAGCCAUGCAGGGCGGGUGAAGAAGGUCUGCGGAUGGGAAAGCACUUUAAGUGGGGAGGAAGGGUAGUAAGUGAAAAGCUGGCUGUUUGGACGUUACCAACAGAAUAAGCACCGGCUAAUUUCGU